CAACCAUGUUUUCAAGUCGUCCGAUUAAUCGCGAUUAAUCGCGAUUAAUCGCCCAGCAGCAGGGAUUCAGCAAGAAGAAUAUGGAGUUUUGGACAAGAAGCUGGAGUUCUGGAGAGCAAAUAUCAAAAGUAAGUCACCAAAACCUGCAGAAUUGCUUGCUGUAUACUAUAUUGUAUAUAUAUAAUUAUAUAUACACUAUAUAGUAUAUACUGAACAUGUAGACAUAUGGACGAUUAGGGAACGACCAGGCUCGACCAGGUCGACCUGGUCGUCGACUAAUCGCGAUUAAUCGCAUGGUCGGUCCCUAGGCGACCAGGACCGACCAGCCGAUUUGAAAACAUUGCUCAGCAAUG
Long non-coding RNA from Panicum virgatum (switchgrass), 353 nucleotides. RefSeq lists it as uncharacterized. The transcript is spliced from 2 exons. NCBI's taxonomy places the organism in Eukaryota, Viridiplantae, Streptophyta, Magnoliopsida, Poales, Poaceae. The record is from RefSeq and is a predicted model, not a curated record.